This 316-nucleotide long non-coding RNA is filed under the name Ananas comosus (pineapple). RNAcentral describes it as "long non-coding RNA (ACOM_LNC029229)". The record is from RNAcentral. Lineage: Eukaryota; Viridiplantae; Streptophyta; Magnoliopsida; Poales; Bromeliaceae.
CUAGGAUAAUUACAAUUCCUACUCCAAAUAGUAUUUAAAUUUAUAUUUAGUUUAUCUCUAAAAAAGUUAAAUAUUAAUUAGAGUAUAAAUUUAACUAUAUUAGGAUAAAUAUUUAUAUUUAUUGUAUAAUUCCUAAACAUCACUUUCCUUUCCAUAUAUAAAUUUAGAUGAAGAGACAAACAGAGAAAAAAUUUUUUUGAGAGAUAGGUAGCACGUUACCCGCUUCAUUUAUUUUAUUUAGAAAUAAACUUAGCUGAAAAUGAGAAUCAACUGGGAUUGGAACUUGGGUCUCGGCUAUGAACCACCAACCCCUUUG